Molecule: ribosomal RNA, 433 nt
Filed under: uncultured bacterium
Lineage: Bacteria
Description: partial 16S ribosomal RNA
Rfam family: Bacterial small subunit ribosomal RNA
Source: RNAcentral
AACGAACGCUGGCGGCAUGCCUAACACAUGCAAGUCGAACGAGACCUUCGGGUCUAGUGGCGCGCGGGUGCGUAACGCGUGGGAACCUGCCCUUAGGUUCGGAAUAACUCCCCGAAAGGGGUGCUAAUACCGGAUAAUGUCUUCGGACCAAAGAUUUAUCGCCUUUGGAUGGGCCCGCGUUGGAUUAGCUAGUUGGUAGGGUACAAGCCUACCAAGGCGACGAUCCAUAGCUGGUCUGAGAGGAUGAUCAGCCACACUGGGACUGAGACACGGCCCAGACUCCUACGGGAGGCAGCAGUGGGGAAUAUUGGACAAUGGGCGAAAGCCUGAUCCAGCAAUGCCGCGUGAGUGAUGAAGGCCUUAGGGUUGUAAAGCUCUUUUACCCGGGAUGAUAAUGACAGUACCGGGAGAAUAAGCUCCGGCUAACUCCGUG